Molecule: long non-coding RNA, 743 nt
Organism: Gallus gallus (chicken)
Lineage: Eukaryota; Metazoa; Chordata; Aves; Galliformes; Phasianidae
Source: Ensembl
UGUUUGUUAUUGGUAGAACAACGCUGAGACCAAGAUCAGGCCCAGCUGUGCUCUGUGUUUGACAGUUGUAAGGAAAAGACAGCUUCUCCCCCCAGAAAGCUCAACACUUGAAGACUGCAAUGAGAAACAACAGAUGGAGACAGAAUCAUGGACUAUAUGGGACAGCAGGGGACAGUAGCGGAGUUUCGUCUUUCUCAUAAUAGGAGCUGGAACCCUGGGUUUGACCCACACGACCACCUGCAAAGCUUUGAGCCACGGGGUGCUUCCAGCCUGAGGAUACACUGAGGCGCACUGAGGAAGGAUCCACAGCCUGUCGUACAUUUGUGAUCUAUAUCCACUUAAUUAAAGGCUCAUUCAUGGCCUGGGUGCACACAGCCCUGCUGGGAUGUGAGCUGUCCUCCGUGUCAAAGGGCUCAGUGUUUUUCCAGGAUUUGAGGGAUGGUGACUCCCCGCCUCCCUGGGCAGCUGUGCCACUGCAUCACCACUCUUUCUGAGAAGAAAUUGUUCCUAACACCCAAACUGAGCCUCCCCUGACACUGCAUAAGGCCUCUCAUCCUACGAAGACCAAGUCGUCUUCUCCAUCCUUCUUACUGCACUGUGCCCCUUUCCAUCUCGCCAGUACCAAGGCACACCAAGAGGAUGUCAGUGAAGCUGGCUGGGUUGUAUCGAUGGAAAUACGACAUGAGAGAGAUUUUUCAGCUGCAGUUCUUGGCACAGCAUUGUUGCAAUGGUUUUGUUCUGAG